GGUGCUUGGCAUGGCUGGAUCUGAGACAAUCACUUUUAGUGAUUCAAUCACAGCUUCACCGUUCUUGAAAAUACUGAAAAUUUCUGACUCUAAAAUACAGAUUUGGGCCCAAAGGAGGCCUGGUAACCUUAAGCUGCUACUGGGUUUAAUCAGAUGAUGAAGAUGAUUAAGGCCCAGAACAUGCUCCCUUAAAUCCUGAAUGGUGUACCUGAAUAGAUUGUGGUAUUAGCCACAAUAUUCUGUCACAUAUUCUGUGACAAUUAUGACUAAAACCCUGGCAUCUUCAUUUCCAAACCUAUCAUCUGUGUAAUGGACACAGAACAAAGCACAAAGCCUGAGACCUUCCCAUCCAGCAGUACACUUACAGAAUUGCAUAAAAACCAAACUGCAUUUUACUGCAGUCAUGAACAAGAAUAACAUAAUUGAUAAAAGCUUUAUGGUGAGAUGGAGGCAGGAGUUUGAGAAUUUCCAAGAUGCCAUGGAUCAGGAGACUAUAUUUUUUUUAUGGCCGAACUUUUUUUUUAUAAGUUUUACGGUUGUGGUGUUUGCAUUUUACAGCUCAUUCUGAGAGGUGGAUCUCAAGUUUUUCUAGGCAUAUGCUUAGAGGACUUUUCUUGUGAGUCACCAGUGCUACGGUAAAUGUGAAAGGCGACAUCAUCCUGAAUCUGAAGAUCUGCAAAAAACCACUGUUUGGGUCACAGAAGAGCAGCAGAAAGAGCAACAGCACCACACCAAAAGCUGCAGACUUUGAAAACAGGGACAGACGCAUAGGGUGUCUGUUCAAUGAUUGAUGUUUCUGAUCCAGUUGACUCAAGAAACAGUGGCAAAUGAGAGUGAGGAAGCU
Molecule: long non-coding RNA, 844 nt
Filed under: Homo sapiens (human)
Lineage: Eukaryota; Metazoa; Chordata; Mammalia; Primates; Hominidae
Description: non-protein coding lnc-OPCML-4:2
Source: RNAcentral